Molecule: transfer RNA, 74 nt
Filed under: Candidatus Similichlamydia laticola
Lineage: Bacteria; Pseudomonadati; Chlamydiota; Chlamydiia; Parachlamydiales; Candidatus Parilichlamydiaceae
Description: tRNA-Gly
Rfam family: tRNA
About the family: Transfer RNA (tRNA) molecules are approximately 80 nucleotides in length.
Source: RNAcentral
GCGCCUGUGGUUUAAUGGCAGAACAUCAGCCUUCCAAGCUGAAAGUGUCAGUUCGAUUCUGAUCGGGCGCUCAA